This 254-nucleotide ribosomal RNA is filed under the name uncultured bacterium. RNAcentral's name for it is "partial 16S ribosomal RNA". It matches the Rfam family "Bacterial small subunit ribosomal RNA", at positions 524 to 776 of the family's 1533-position model. The record is from RNAcentral.
UACAGAGGGUGCAAGCGUUAUCCGGAAUGAUUGGGCGUAAAGCGUUUGUAGGUUGCUUGAGAAGUCUACUGUCAAAUCCCAGAGCUCAACUUUGGACAGGCAGUGGAGCACUCUUAGGCUAGAGUACGGUAGGGGUAGAGGGAAUUCCCGGUGGAGCGGUGAAAUGCGUAGAGAUCAGGAAGAACACCGGUGGCGAAAGCGCUCUGCUAGGCCGCAACUGACACUGAGGGACGAAAGCUAGGGGAGCGAACAGG